This 3311-nucleotide long non-coding RNA is filed under the name Sus scrofa (pig). RNAcentral's name for it is "lncRNA (ENSSSCG00015070998.1)". Lineage: Eukaryota; Metazoa; Chordata; Mammalia; Artiodactyla; Suidae. The record is from RNAcentral.
UGGAUGUAGAUUUUUAAAGAAACGUAUCUAUUUUUAUCUAUUCGAUCUAAAAUGCCCAUCCCUCCUAGAGAAAUGCUCACUUGUGUGAAAAAAGGACAUGGACAUGGCAAGGACGGGCUGGAAGCUUCACUCGUAGCAGCACACUAACCAGUAACAACCUAAGUGCCCACCAGCGCAUGAGCCGCCGCAGUUAGAAAGAAAAAGGAGAACUUCAUAUAUUUUGAAUAUAAAAAUAAUCCCAAGAUAUUUUCAGCAAUAAAUGCUUAGCAAGAAAAAAUACACGCCAUUAUUCCAUCAACGUUAUGAACCAGCCAACUCCCUCUCUCUCUACGUGUUUGCAUACUUAUAUAUACGUUAACCGCAUCAACAUGAAUCUGGACGGCACACACACAUCAAGGGUAAAACGAUUGUUUGCUCAAAAGAGAACAACUGUAUGAGCAUCAGUGAAAGAGGAAUUUUGCAUUUUAGUGCAUGUUUACUACAUCAUUAUGACUUAAGAAAAUAGAUAAGCCUAUUAGGUUGGGGUGCUCGUAUUCUACCUUCCCUUUUUUCCUUGAUUCCUAUCAGUUCUGUAGCCUAAGAUGCUUUAACAGCAUGUCCCUAAAUGAUCAUCUGGAAGAACUUUGGUAAGUAACUAAAAAGAACUGCUUUUGAAGUUUUUAUUUACCUACCUUUAUAAGAUUUGAUUAAUAUUUCAGUCUCUAAAUAGACACUAUCAGAGUGUAACCAAACCACUAAAAUCUGUUUUUAUUACAUUGCUCAGAUGCAUAAGGGAAAUACAGGGAAUUUGAAAGGAUGUUUACAUUUCUCUAACCAGUAUUCUUAAACUCUCACCAAAUCUAAUCACCAACUGAUUGCCUUAAGAAGGUAUAGUUGGGACGUUGAUUCCUAGAGUCAGGAGCUACUUUGUGUUCAACUACAUGAUUGAGUCUAGCAACAGUGUUACUCUGAAUCUGUAUAUUAGAUGAAAAAAGUUACCCGUUAUUAGAAGUAUCUGACUUUCUAUUUGAAACCUCUGGUAAUAGUGAUAUUAAACUGACGUCAUCAAUGCUGGAAUUAUUUCUACUAUCAGAGCUAAUAUUAACUACAGUGUUUUAUCUUUUGUUCAUGUAAAAGGAAAUUUGGAAUCAAAAGAACUAAGUUAGAGAACAACUGAUAAGCAUGAGAUCCUGCUGUAUAGCACAGGGAACUGUAUCUAAUCACUUGUGUUGGGACAUGAUGUUGGAUAAUGUGAAAAAAAGGUAUAUACAUCAAUGUAUAUACAACUGGGUCACUUUGCUGUACAACAGAAAUUGACAGAACACUGUAAGUCAGCUAUAACAAAAUUUUUUUAAAAAUCGAAGAAAACAGUAACUCAUGUGACCUAAAACAAAGCCACAAUCUGAAGAGUGGUGUGUAAACCUGACCACUGCAGCUGCACUAUCAUGUUCGUGGUUUGGACACGCCCUUCUUAACACACUUAUGGACCCUGGAGUAGAUGCUUGUGCACCUCCGGCUGAUUUUCAUCUUCUGGAUUUUGUAUGGUCAGGAAUAUCACAACAAGCUGCUAUGGUGGAUGGGAAAAUACUUUGCACAAGUCACGUGUUCGCCAUCGGUGUUCUUGGGAGGUAGAUAUUCAAUACCGAAUUUCUUGGGAGCAUGUACUUUCCAUUUUUAAGCUCAUUGAUAUCAGGGGUUUCUUGCAAAAUAGCAAAAGAGUGUUACCAAAGAAUAAAAACAAACAGAUGCUAAAUCCAUCGCAGCACGAAUAUUCAGAUCGCUAUCUACCUGCCCUUGCGUAUUUUUAAUGAGGUUAAGUCAGUUUCUCAGAGUCUGAGCUCCUUGAGCAUUGGAAAGGGAGAAGCCUAGGACUCACAAUGAAGAGGGGUCAGCCUGGGUAGCUUUCUUCUAAGUAACCAGUCAGGUGUACGUUUCCAUCAUUAGAACCAGAAUGGGGCUGGAGAAUAAGAAGGUGUGCUAGUCACGCCAGAUGGAACUGAUGGAGCUGGUUUGAGGCUCUGGAGGGCAAAGGCUGGAACUAGAAGCUGUUAUUUACUCAUUUAUCAAGUUAAUUAUUUAGUUAACAUUCUUUACUACACAUGACAAAUAGCAAAAAGACAUCCCCACCGAUGCUUCCCUUUCAGCAUGGAAUGGCACUGUCAUUACCAACAGCAGCAAGAGGCUUCCAUUUCUGGGUAGAACAGGGGUACUGGCUGAAAGGGGAGAACUCCCUGCCUUCACCAGAAUAGGAACAGAAUACUUCAAUGAACCUGAACAAAUUCUUUCAGUGUAACAAACUAAGUCACAUAGCUCAAGUGGAUUACUCUGGAGAUUAUAUAGAAAUUUUAGAUAAGGAAGUGUCAUUGAAAAGUCAUUUGUAAAAGGUUUUACAUCUGUGUAAUUAGGCACAUUUGUACCAUUGUUCCAUCAAAUUGGAUUGUAUUCCCAAAUGGCACUAAAAGUCCAGUUACUCUCUAAAUCAAAUUCUAUUCAAGUGGGACUUUGUGCCUGACUAAACACACAGGAAGCAGUUGGGUGGGGGGCGGGGGGCUUUGAUUGAAUGACUGAGGCUGUCUUAGUGUCAGUAUUUACAUUUGCUAUCCCAAAGCUAGAUAACAAAAUUUUGAUUAAGGUCCUUGUCACUUUCAUUCUCAAGGUGGAUGCAGAAAGAGAUGAUGGAAUUCAAAGACUUCAUUCAAUUUUUUUCCCUAAAGGGACUGAUAACUAUCUCCAAUAUGAAAAGAACCCUGUUUGAAAGUCAAGUUUAGAGCACGGUUUAAGUUUUGCUUGGCAACUUAAACCUCAGGAAAAAGUCUCAUGUUCUUUUUCAUGUUUUAGCUAUGUGUGUGGCAUAUUUCUUUGCCAAGAACCCCUAAGUGAAUAGGAUUCCGUUAAUUAAUCUUAAAAAAAAUCUUCAAAACUAGCAAUAAUUUACAACUUGGGAACUUUCUAAAGUGUUUAGGCUCACUAAAAGUAGAUUAGGAUGAAAAAAUAAAAGCGACUACAUAAUACGGCUGGCCUCGUUGAAACUAGUGGAAUUAAGACAGACAAUUCUCUACAAGAGAAAGAAUUCAGAAACUUUUUUUUUGUAUAGCAAAGGGUACACUUGAAGACAAUUAGCCAAAAACUAAUUUUCCCAUCCAAAGCUAAUAUCUACUAAUUACUGCAUUAUGUUCCAAAAGUGUACUUAAUGAUAUAUGUAUAUUACCUCAUUUAUUUCCACAACAAUGAUACACAUUUGGGUAUUAUUUCCCCUUUCCUACAAGGGGGGAAAUUGAGCUUUAAGAAGAUAAAUAUCUUGUCUGGGUUUAUACUUCUGGUAGAUGUCCUAC